CCUCUGGGUUGUAAACUCCUUUUAUCUGGGAAGAAAUGUUUCGAUUCUUCGGAACUUGACGGUACCAGAGGAAUAAGCACCGGCUAACUCCGUGCCAGCAGCCGCGGUAAUACGGAGGGUGCAAGCGUUAUCCGGAUUCACUGGGUUUAAAGGGUGCGUAGGCGGGUAGAUAAGUCAGUGGUGAAAUCUCCGAGCUUAACUCGGAAACUGCCAUUGAUACUAUUUNUCUUGAAUAUUGUGGAGGUAAGCGGAAUAUGUCAUGUAGCGGUGAAAUGCUUAGAUAUGACAUAGAACACCAAUUGCGAAGGCAGCUUACUACGCANUUAUUGACGCUGAGGCACGAAAGCGUGGGGAUCAAACAGGAUUAGAUACCCUGGUAGUCCACGCCCUAAACGAUGAUUACUCGACAUACGCGAUACACUGUGUGUGUCUGAGCGAAAGCAUUAAGUAAUCCACCUGGGAAGUACGAUCGCAAGAUUGAAACUCAAA
Molecule: ribosomal RNA, 489 nt
Filed under: uncultured bacterium
Lineage: Bacteria
Description: bacterial SSU rRNA
Rfam family: Bacterial small subunit ribosomal RNA
Source: RNAcentral